Molecule: ribosomal RNA, 674 nt
Filed under: uncultured bacterium
Lineage: Bacteria
Description: bacterial SSU rRNA
Rfam family: Bacterial small subunit ribosomal RNA
Source: RNAcentral
AGAGUUUGAUCCUGGCUCAGGAUGAGCGCUAGCGGCAGGCUUAAUACAUGCAAGUCAAGGGGGUAGCAAUACAACCGGCGCACGGGUGAGUAACGCGUACACAACAUACCAUAUACUGGGGUAUAGCUUUGGGAAACUGAAGGUAAUCCCCCAUAACAUUGCGAGAGGGCAUCUGAUUGCAAUUAAAGUUUCGGCGGUAUAUGAUUGGUGUGCGUUUGAUUAGCUAGUUGGUAGGGUAACGGCCUACCAAGGCGACGAUCAAUAGCUGGCGUGAGAGCGCGACCAGCCACACUGGAACUGAGACACGGUCCAGACUCCUACGGGAGGCAGCAGUAGGGAAUAUUGGACAAUGGGCGCAAGCCUGAUCCAGCCAUGCCGCGUGAUAGAUGAAGGCCCUCUGGGUUGUAAAUAUCUUUUAUCUGGGAAGAAACUCCUCUAUUCUUAGAGGCCUGACGGUACCAGAGGAAUAAGCACCGGCUAACUCCGUGCCAGCAGCCGCGGUAAUACGGAGGGUGCAAGCGUUAUCCGGAUUCACUGGGUUUAAAGGGUGCGUAGGCGGGCUGAUAAGUCAGUGGUGAAAGCUCCGAGCUUAACUUGGAAACUGCCAUUGAUACUGCCAGUCUUGAAUGUCGUAGAGGUAAGCGGGAAUGUUGCAUGUAGCGGUGAAAUGCUUA